Molecule: long non-coding RNA, 671 nt
Organism: Lactuca sativa (garden lettuce)
Lineage: Eukaryota; Viridiplantae; Streptophyta; Magnoliopsida; Asterales; Asteraceae
Source: RefSeq, a predicted model, not a curated record
AUUUUAUUAUUAGAGGAUUGGAUUGGAUGACAUAGAUAGAGUCAAAAUCCCAAGUCAAAGCUAUCUAAAAUUGGUUAAUAGAUUACACGUCGGAAAAAAAGGCGUUUGGGUACAAAAGAUUCAGACGAAAGAAUCUCCCCCACCAACCAAACCUCUCAUUCCUAACGCCUCCCUCGCUCCUCCUGUCCUUUCCCCCAAACGCCGAGGGACGGAGGCAGAGAUCCACGCCGUUGCUUCACCCAUAAUCGCCAUAACUAAGGAUAAAGCAUACUACGUUACAUGGGUUAUUAUCAACCACAGACAAAGAAGUUUUCACUCGAGCAUGUGAGGGAAUCUCUCAUCGCCAUCUCUUAUUGUGAACCCGAAAGUUUUUCACAUGUGACUAAAUCUGAAAUCCCAAAAGUUGAGGUUGUGGCUACUCAAACUAAAGUUGACACAGUCAGCAAUGAACUAAGACUGAAACUGAUAUCAAUUGCUUCGUAUUCCCCAUCAAAUUGCAACGGCUAUGGUGAGGUUUAAGGCCUCCACCGGUUCCACAUAUUGGUGUUGAUAUGCUCAUGAUAUAAAUAUGGGUGACAAUUGUAUAAAAUUAUAUAAUUCGUGCUACUUUUGUAACAUUUGACAGUAUAAAUAUGAUAUAUACCCUCAAAUGGGUUAAAAUUGUGAUUGAA